AUGACAAUAAGGGCUUCAUGGGCUGUGGAGCUUGGAACGUCCAGGGAGGCCAAGGGCAGAGGAGACAAGACACACGCAAGGAGGAGAGGAGGAGGCGGUGUGUGUGUGUGUGUGUGUGUGUGUGUGUGUGUGUGUGUGUGUGUGUGUGUGUGUGUGUGUGUGUGUGUGUGUGUGUGUGUGUGUGUGUGUGUGCGUGUGUGUGUGUGUGUGUGUGCGUGUUUGUGCGUGUGUGUGUGGGUCUGUGUGUUUGCUCGAGUUGAGGAAGUUAAGUUACUACAGGUUAUUAGACCUCGUCUGUUAGUGUGUGGGUUCACCAGGUGUGUGUGGGUUCACCAGGUGUGUGCGGGUUCCCCAGGUGUGUCCUGGGUUCACCAGGUGUGUGUGGGUUCACCAGGUGUGUGCGGGUUCCCCAGGUGUGUCCUGGGUUCAACCAGGUGUGUCCUGGGUUCACCAGGUGUGUGUGGGUUCACCAGGUGUGUGUGGGUUCACCAGGUGUGUCCAGGGUUCACCAGGUGUGUGUGGGUUCACCAGGUGUGUGCGGGUUCCCCAGGUGUUUCCAGGGUUCACCAGGUGUAUCCUGGGUUCACCAGGUGUGUGUGUUCACCAGGUGUGUCCUGGGUUCCCCAUGUGUGUGUGGGUUCACUAGGUGUGUCCUGGGUUCCCCAGGUGUGUCCUGGGUUCACCAGGUGUGUGUGGGUUCACCAGGUGUGCAUGGGUUCACCAGGUGUGUGUGGGUUCCCCAGGUGUGUCCUGGGUUCACCAGGUGUGUGUGGGUUCUCCAGGUGUGUCCUGGAUUCACCAGGUGUGUGUGGGUUCCCCAGGUGUUUCCUGGGUUCACCAGUUGUGUGUGGGUUCACCAGGUGUGUCCUGGGUUCACUAGGUGUGUGUGUGUGGGUUCACCAGGUGUGUGUGGGUUCACCAGGUGUAUCCUGGGUUCACCAGGUGUGUGUGUUCACCAGGUGUGUGUGGGUUCACCAGUUGUGUGUGGGUUCACCAGGUGUAUCCUGGGUUCACCAGGUGUGUGUGAUCACCAGGUGUGUGUGGGUUCACCAGGUGUAUCCUGGGUUCACCAGGUGUGUGUGUUCACCAGGUGUGUGUGGGUGCACCAGGUGUGUGUGGGUUCACCAGGUGUAUCUUGGGUUCACCAGGUGUGUGUGUUCACCAGGUGUGUCCUGGGUUCACCAGGUGUGUCCUGGGUUCACCAGGUGUGUCCAGGGUUCACCAGGUGUGUGUGUGUGUUCACCAGGUGUGUCCUGGGUUCACCAGGUGUGUGUGGGUUCACCAGGUGUGUCCUGGGUUCACCAGGUGUGUCCUGGUUUCACCAGGUGUGUGUGUUCACCAGGUGUGUCCUGGGUUCACCAGGUGUGUCCAGGGUUCACCAGGUGUGUGUGA
RNAcentral lists this long non-coding RNA (1392 nucleotides) under Gadus morhua (Atlantic cod). RNAcentral describes it as "lncRNA (ENSGMOG00000024768.1)". Lineage: Eukaryota; Metazoa; Chordata; Actinopteri; Gadiformes; Gadidae. The record is from RNAcentral.